Molecule: transfer RNA, 65 nt
Filed under: Geloina coaxans
Lineage: Eukaryota; Metazoa; Mollusca; Bivalvia; Venerida; Cyrenidae
Description: tRNA-Glu
Source: RNAcentral
UCUUUAAAAUUUUAUUAUUCUUCUUUAACGCGAAAAGUUAAUGUGUUUUCAUACACCAUAAAGAC